RNAcentral lists this ribosomal RNA (750 nucleotides) under Escherichia coli. RNAcentral's name for it is "bacterial LSU rRNA". It matches the Rfam family "Bacterial large subunit ribosomal RNA", at positions 2049 to 2798 of the family's 2925-position model. The record is from RNAcentral. Lineage: Bacteria; Pseudomonadati; Pseudomonadota; Gammaproteobacteria; Enterobacterales; Enterobacteriaceae.
CGCUGUGAAGAUGCAGUGUACCCGCGGCAAGACGGAAAGACCCCGUGAACCUUUACUAUAGCUUGACACUGAACAUUGAGCCUUGAUGUGUAGGAUAGGUGGGAGGCUUUGAAGUGUGGACGCCAGUCUGCAUGGAGCCGACCUUGAAAUACCACCCUUUAAUGUUUGAUGUUCUAACGUUGACCCGUAAUCCGGGUUGCGGACAGUGUCUGGUGGGUAGUUUGACUGGGGCGGUCUCCUCCUAAAGAGUAACGGAGGAGCACGAAGGUUGGCUAAUCCUGGUCGGACAUCAGGAGGUUAGUGCAAUGGCAUAAGCCAGCUUGACUGCGAGCGUGACGGCGCGAGCAGGUGCGAAAGCAGGUCAUAGUGAUCCGGUGGUUCUGAAUGGAAGGGCCAUCGCUCAACGGAUAAAAGGUACUCCGGGGAUAACAGGCUGAUACCGCCCAAGAGUUCAUAUCGACGGCGGUGUUUGGCACCUCGAUGUCGGCUCAUCACAUCCUGGGGCUGAAGUAGGUCCCAAGGGUAUGGCUGUUCGCCAUUUAAAGUGGUACGCGAGCUGGGUUUAGAACGUCGUGAGACAGUUCGGUCCCUAUCUGCCGUGGGCGCUGGAGAACUGAGGGGGGCUGCUCCUAGUACGAGAGGACCGGAGUGGACGCAUCACUGGUGUUCGGGUUGUCAUGCCAAUGGCACUGCCCGGUAGCUAAAUGCGGAAGAGAUAAGUGCUGAAAGCAUCUAAGCACGAAACUUGCC